RNAcentral lists this ribosomal RNA (241 nucleotides) under uncultured Mycobacterium sp. RNAcentral describes it as "partial 16S ribosomal RNA". It matches the Rfam family "Bacterial small subunit ribosomal RNA", at positions 592 to 832 of the family's 1533-position model. The record is from RNAcentral. Lineage: Bacteria; Bacillati; Actinomycetota; Actinomycetes; Mycobacteriales; Mycobacteriaceae.
UCGUGAAAACCGAAGGCUUAACCUUUGGCGUGCGGGCGAUACGGGCAGACUGGAGUACUGCAGGGGAGACUGGAAUUCCUGGUGUAGCGGUGGAAUGCGCAGAUAUCAGGAGGAACACCGGAGGCGAAGGCGGGUCUCUGGGCAGUAACUGACGCUGAGGAGCGAAAGCGUGGGGAGCGAACAGGAUUAGAUACCCUGGUAGUCCACGCCGUAAACGGUGGGUACUAGGUGUGGGUUUCCU